Molecule: ribosomal RNA, 397 nt
Filed under: uncultured bacterium
Lineage: Bacteria
Description: bacterial SSU rRNA
Rfam family: Bacterial small subunit ribosomal RNA
Source: RNAcentral
AUUGAACGCUGGCGGAAUGCUUUACACAUGCAAGUCGGGCGGCAGCGCGGGGGCAACCCUGGCGGCGAGCGGCGAACGGGUGAGUAACACAUCGGAACGUACCCUGUCGUGGGGGAUAACGAAUCGAAAGAUUCGCUAAUACCGCAUACGACCUGAGGGUGAAAGCGGGGGAUCGCAAGACCUCGCGCGAGAGGAGCGGCCGAUGGCGGAUUAGCUAGUUGGUGGGGUAAAGGCCCACCAAGGCGACGAUCCGUAGCGGGUCUGAGAGGACGGCCCGCCACACUGGGACUGAGACACGGCCCAGACUCCUACGGGAGGCAGCAGUGGGGAAUUUUGGACAAUGGGGGGCAACCCUGAUCCAGCCAUUCCGCGUGAGUGAAGAAGGCCUCGGUGUAAG